Molecule: long non-coding RNA, 449 nt
Organism: Aedes aegypti (yellow fever mosquito)
Lineage: Eukaryota; Metazoa; Arthropoda; Insecta; Diptera; Culicidae
Exons: 2
Source: RefSeq, a predicted model, not a curated record
AACUGUUGCUGGUUUGAAAAGUUGUCAAAAUGCGUUGCACUGUUAUUCAAUGCACGGAAUCCCCAAGUAGACUUGUUUGAUGUUUCAGGCAGAGAUGCAUUUGAACGCGUUCUGAUCAUGUUCUGCCGUGUUCAAGUUCAAACAAUUUGCUAUGUUUGAUCACAGGACUCUGUUCAUCGCGUGGCAACCGUGACCGUCAUUCGUUUUUCUCUUCCUGGCAGAUACAAGUAGGAUGCAAAUGCAGAUUCAAUUCAUCGGUCGUUCUAAUGAGAAAAUAAUUCUCGAAAAUCAAUGAUGUAAUAGUGAUCGAACAAUGGCGGUUCUCCAAACAUCUGGUGAAUUAUAUCGUCAACCCUUGACCAAUAUUCUAGAGUUUUCAUUGGCACAAAUAUCCGAUUGAUCAUUAAUGCGUAUAAUAAAUAUAACACGGAUCUUCAGAUAACAAGUAA